AAAUUGAAGAGUUUGAUCAUGGCUCAGAUUGAACGCUGGCGGCAGGCCUAACACAUGCAAGUCGAACGGUAACAGGAAGCAGCUUGCUGCUUUGCUGACGAGUGGCGGACGGGUGAGUAAUGUCUGGGAAACUGCCUGAUGGAGGGGGAUAACUACUGGAAACGGUGGCUAAUACCGCAUAACGUCGCAAGACCAAAGAGGGGGACCUUCGGGCCUCUUGCCAUCAGAUGUGCCCAGAUGGGAUUAGCUUGUUGGUGAGGUAACGGCUCACCAAGGCGACGAUCCCUAGCUGGUCUGAGAGGAUGACCAGCCACACUGGAACUGAGACACGGUCCAGACUCCUACGGGAGGCAGCAGUGGGGAAUAUUGCACAAUGGGCGCAAGCCUGAUGCAGCCAUGCCGCGUGUAUGAAGAAGGCCUUAGGGUUGUAAAGUACUUUCAGCGGGGAGGAAGGUGUUGCGGUUAAUAACCGCAGCAAUUGACGUUACCCGCAGAAGAAGCACCGGCUAACUCCGUGCCAGCAGCCGCGGUAAUACGGAGGGUGCAAGCGUUAAUCGGAAUUACUGGGCGUACAGCGCACGCAGGCGGUCUGUCAAGUCGGAUGUGAAAUCCCCGGGCUCAACCUGGGAACUGCAUUCGAAACUGGCAGGCUUGAGUCUUGUAGAGGGGGGUAGAAUUCCAGGUGUAGCGGUGAAAUGCGUAGAGAUCUGGAGGAAUACCGGUGGCGAAGGCGGCCCCCUGGACAAAGACUGACGCUCAGGUGCGAAAGCGUGGGGAGCAAACAGGAUUAGAUACCCUGGUAGUCCACGCCGUAAACGAUGUCUACUUGGAGGUUGUGCCCUUGAGGCGUGGCUUCCGGAGCUAACGCGUUAAGUAGACCGCCUGGGGAGUACGGCCGCAAGGUUAAAACUCAAAUGAAUUGACGGGGGCCCGCACAAGCGGUGGAGCAUGUGGUUUAAUUCGAUGCAACGCGAAGAACCUUACCUGGUCUUGACAUCCACAGAACUUUCCAGAGAUGGAUUGGUGCCUUCGGGAACUGUGAGACAGGUGCUGCAUGGCUGUCGUCAGCUCGUGUUGUGAAAUGUUGGGUUAAGUCCCGCAACGAGCGCAACCCUUAUCCUUUGUUGCCAGCGGUUAGGCCGGGAACUCAAAGGAGACUGCCAGUGAUAAACUGGAGGAAGGUGGGGAUGACGUCAAGUCAUCAUGGCCCUUACGACCAGGGCUACACACGUGCUACAAUGGCGCAUACAAAGAGAAGCGACCUCGCGAGAGCAAGCGGACCUCAUAAAGUGCGUCGUAGUCCGGAUUGGAGUCUGCAACUCGACUCCAUGAAGUCGGAAUCGCUAGUAAUCGUGGAUCAGAAUGCCACGGUGAAUACGUUCCCGGGCCUUGUACACACCGCCCGUCACACCAUGGGAGUGGGUUGCAAAAGAAGUAGGUAGCUUAACCUUCGGGAGGGCGCUUACCACUUUGUGAUUCAUGACUGGGGUGAAGUCGUAACAAGGUAACCGUAGGGGAACCUGCGGUUGGAUCACCUCCUUACCUUAAAGAA
This 1552-nucleotide ribosomal RNA is filed under the name Salmonella enterica subsp. enterica serovar Bareilly str. CFSAN000752. RNAcentral describes it as "bacterial SSU rRNA". It matches the Rfam family "Bacterial small subunit ribosomal RNA". The record is from RNAcentral. Lineage: Bacteria; Pseudomonadati; Pseudomonadota; Gammaproteobacteria; Enterobacterales; Enterobacteriaceae.